This 414-nucleotide ribosomal RNA is filed under the name uncultured Funneliformis. RNAcentral's name for it is "partial 28S ribosomal RNA". Lineage: Eukaryota; Fungi; Glomeromycota; Glomeromycetes; Glomerales; Glomeraceae. The record is from RNAcentral.
GAGAGUUAAACAGUACGUGAAAUUGUUGAAAGGGAAACGAUUGAAGUCAGUCAUACCAACGGGAAAUCAACCUUUUGAGCUUGGUCUCGUGGGUUUUGAAGAGUUUCAAAGCCUUCGGACUCGCGGGAUUGGGAUCUCUCGGUGUACUUUCUCGUACGGUUAGUCAACAUCGGUUUUGAAUGUCAUAAAAUGACUGGAGGAAUGUAGCUUCGAUCUCGUAUUGAAGUGUUAUAGCCUUUGGUAGAUGUGAUGUUUGAGACCGAGGAUUGCAACGGAUACCCUUCAGGGCUAUUCGUCUGAUCUCUGAUACGUUGCCUUGAUGUUGAAAGCUUGCUUAUGAUGUCAGGGUAUUACGGUCAAAAGGUUAGAACGAAUUACAUUCGUUAAGGAUGUUGACGUAAUGACUUUAAACGA